AAAGAUCGCAGCCUUCGGCAGCUCCUACAGGAGUACGCAUUCCCUUGUAGGAGCUGCCGAAGGCUGCGAUCUUU
Molecule: unclassified non-coding RNA, 74 nt
Filed under: Pseudomonas lini
Lineage: Bacteria; Pseudomonadati; Pseudomonadota; Gammaproteobacteria; Pseudomonadales; Pseudomonadaceae
Source: RNAcentral